This 618-nucleotide long non-coding RNA is filed under the name Rattus norvegicus (Norway rat). RNAcentral describes it as "long non-coding RNA NONRATT032421". Lineage: Eukaryota; Metazoa; Chordata; Mammalia; Rodentia; Muridae. The record is from RNAcentral.
GGAAGGCUGUGGGAGGACAUAAUAACUGGGAGGACUUCACAGCCUCUACCUGGGGGUAAAGGGAGGAGGGCUGAGCAUGGAGGGUGUUGUCUUUUAAUUCUGACUAUGUGUUGAGUGGCAGGAGAAAUUUUGAAAGCUGCUUUGAGGAGGAGCCAGUGCCUGGGCAUGGAGUGUUCUGUGCCCCGCUCUCCCCACUUGUAGGAAACCUUCUCUCCAUGCACAAGUAAUUGGACUGGAAGGAGUACGACUGGCAAAGGAAAAGAGCCAUUCUGUCUCCUCCUCCUGUUCCUUAUCUCUCACAUCCUGACUUUCUUCCAAAGCCGCCUCAGCUGUGCCAAGCUGGCUGCAGAGCGUCUUGACAGGUGCCAGCAUCUGCUUAGCCUCCCUGUGCACUCCAGGCCUCUCUAUUAGCUGCUCACCGUCCCUGGCCAUUGGGACCGCUUCAGAUGGCUGCGGCCUGUGCUGCCCCAGGGAGCACCUUCUCUAAGCAGCUCCUUUUCCUUCUCCUGGUUCUGGUAUUACUUUGCAAUGCGUGUCAGAAAGUUUCCCUUCAAGUUCCCUCUCAUCUUAAGGCCGAAAAACCUAUAGGCAAAGGUGAGACUCUGUUGAGAAAAGAUG